RNAcentral lists this ribosomal RNA (483 nucleotides) under uncultured bacterium. RNAcentral's name for it is "partial 16S ribosomal RNA". It matches the Rfam family "Bacterial small subunit ribosomal RNA", at positions 30 to 507 of the family's 1533-position model. The record is from RNAcentral.
UUGAACGCUGGCGGCAGGCCUAACACAUGCAAGUCGAGCGGAUGAAGGGAGCUUGCUCCUGGAUUCAGCGGCGGACGGGUGAGUAAUGCCUAGGAAUCUGCCUGGUAGUGGGGGAUAACGUCCGGAAACGGGCGCUAAUACCGCAUACGUCCUGAGGGAGAAAGUGGGGGAUCUUCGGACCUCACGCUAUCAGAUGAGCCUAGGUCGGAUUAGCUAGUUGGUGGGGUAAAGGCCUACCAAGGCGACGAUCCGUAACUGGUCUGAGAGGAUGAUCAGUCACACUGGAACUGAGACACGGUCCAGACUCCUACGGGAGGCAGCAGUGGGGAAUAUUGGACAAUGGGCGAAAGCCUGAUCCAGCCAAGCCGCGUGUGUGAAGAAGGUCUUCGGAUUGUAAAGCACUUUAAGUUGGGAGGAAGGGCAGUAAGUUAAUACCUUGCUGUUUUGACGUUACCAACAGAAUAAGCACCGGCUAACUUCGUG